Tupaia belangeri (northern tree shrew) is the source of this 108-nucleotide small nuclear RNA. Its record names the gene U5. It matches the Rfam family "U5 spliceosomal RNA". Rfam says of the family: U5 RNA is a component of both types of known spliceosome. The precise function of this molecule is unknown, though it is known that the 5' loop is required for splice site selection and p220 binding, and that both the 3' stem-loop and the Sm site are important for Sm protein binding and cap methylation. NCBI's taxonomy places the organism in Eukaryota, Metazoa, Chordata, Mammalia, Scandentia, Tupaiidae. The record is from Ensembl.
AUACUCUUGUUUUUCUUCAGAGUGUACAAAUCUUUUCGCCUUUUAUUAAUGAUUUCCAUGAAGAAGAAUUCUGAGUCUUAAUGCUUUGAGGCCUUGCGUUUGCAGGGC